Molecule: long non-coding RNA, 414 nt
Organism: Sarcophilus harrisii (Tasmanian devil)
Lineage: Eukaryota; Metazoa; Chordata; Mammalia; Dasyuromorphia; Dasyuridae
Exons: 3
Source: RefSeq, a predicted model, not a curated record
GGUCUCUGCCAACCCAGCAAAUCCGAGGGCGCUUCUCUCCCGCGGCGGCUUAUAUAUCCCCGCCGAGCCCCGGGGCCGGCCUUCCUCCCGGCCCCCAUUGGGCUGCUGCUUGAGUCGGGCCCCACUCUGCGCUCUUCUCACUGGGCCGGGCCCCCAAAGAAAUCCGCCCCUCACUUCCUAACUGGGCAGCCGCUCACGGAAUAUCCCCGCCGGAGAUGCUCAUUGGGCAAUUUGUAAUAGGGAGAAGGCGAUCGUGUUUCUCCAGACCAAGCAACUGGGAUUAUUUGCCCAGAGACACAUGGCAGUAAGCAUUAAGAAUCUGAAGCUGGAUUUGAACUCCAAGACCCCCGAGUUGUCCCAAGAGGCUGCUUUAAACCUUACUUUAUAAAUUACUUAAGAGAAGGUACCAUGGGC